GAUGUCCUUCUGAGAAAAGAAAGUAGAAUAUCUGUUGUCUCUCUGCAUGUUUUCAAGAAGAGUGCAUACCAGUGAUUCUGAACAGGAAGAAGCUUCUGCUUCAAGGAUAAUGAAAAUUAAAGCUGAGAUCUGUUCCAGCAGCUUUUGCAGCCACUAGAGAAGUAGCUAUAUAACAGUUUCCCCAACCUGCUGCUCCGUCUCCCUGCAGACUCCAGGGAGCUAUACCUGAGAAGCAGUAAGAUUGACCUAGUUUAUUGGAGUAUUCAGAAUCCAGCUUUAUAAGAUCACUGAGAAAGACUAUCAUAAAUGAAGAAAGAGGAUCAUUUUCAAGGUGGUAAAAUUAAGGUGAUCAUAAAUUCUAUUCUACCAAGUUGACAUCUGAGCACAAAUCAGAAAGACAGAAGGGAACGAACCACAAAUAAGUUAGCAGAGUUUGCUCCAGACAAGUGUUAGCAAAUGCAAAAAGUGUAAAACAGAAAUGUGCUGGAGCAACAUGAGAGAAACUUGUGUUCCUGAGUCUGAGAAGAUUAAAAGAUGGGUAUCGGUGCUGCUCGAAGUUUGAGUCUGCUUCCUUUAGAACCAGAACUGUCAGGUAGUCCUCAACAAUUUUGCUUCCACUCAUCACCAAAUGAAGGGGAAAGAAGGAACCAAUGCAGAAUGAAAGGUCGUGUAUUCACAGAGCCUAUUUGGGGAAGUAGUAAGUUUCCCCCCAAAAGGGCAAUGAAAUUUUGAUUAGUAGAGAUUUGCAGAGAAGCAGUUCAGUUGACUGAACAAGAGCCAAAAAAAGAGAGAAGAAAUGCCUUACUAUGUGUAUAAACAAAACAAAAUUCUUACUAUAGUGUAAAUAUACAUUAAAGUCUAAAAGCAGAAAUAUACAAAAACUAGUGUCUCAAAACCAAAAUGCAUGAGACCAAGGCAACUAAUCCCUAUGACUUCAAGCAAGGUCUUCACAGAAGGAGCAAGAUGGGUGUUGCUCUUCCAAGGUCUAGAAUCCUCUCAGCAACAGCUUAAAGAGGGGAAUCUUUAGAAGAAACACAGCACAGGUGCGUUUGGCCAUACUCUCCAUAGUCCCCAUCUGUUCGGUUGAUUAUCUCCACAGAAGAGCUCAAUAACCCAAGUGUUCCCAUAGAAGGACAGUCAGAAAAAUGCCACAGUUUAUAAAAAAGGAAACCAAAGCUUAUUCUUCAGUGACAGAAAGGAUUACAACACUCUAUGACACAAAGGACCCAAAAAUCAAAUAAAGAAAAGUUCAAC
Long non-coding RNA from Chinchilla lanigera (long-tailed chinchilla), 1254 nucleotides. RefSeq lists it as uncharacterized. The record is from RefSeq and is a predicted model, not a curated record. The transcript has 6 exons. Lineage: Eukaryota; Metazoa; Chordata; Mammalia; Rodentia; Chinchillidae.